GACGAACGCUGGCGGCGUGCUUAACACAUGCAAGUCGAACGGUAAGGCCCUUCGGGGUACACGAGUGGCGAACGGGUGAGUAACACGUGGGUGAUCUGCCCUGCACUUCGGGAUAAGCCUGGGAAACUGGGUCUAAUACCGGAUAGGACUCCGGACUGCAUGGUCUGGGGUGGAAAGCUUUUGCGGUGUGGGAUGGGCCCGCGGCCUAUCAGCUUGUUGGUGGGGUGAUGGCCUACCAAGGCGACGACGGGUAGCCGGCCUGAGAAGGUGACCGGCCACACUGGGACUGAGAUACGGCCCAGACUCCUACGGGAGGCAGCGGUGGGGAAUAUUGCACAAUGGGCGCAAGCCUGAUGCAGCGACGCCGCGUGAGGGAUGACGGCCUUCGGGUUGUAAACCUCUUUCAGCAUCGACGAAGCGAAGGUGACGGUAGGUGCAGAAGAAGGACCGGCCAACUACGUGCCAGCCGCCGCAGUAA
This 478-nucleotide ribosomal RNA is filed under the name uncultured bacterium. RNAcentral's name for it is "partial 16S ribosomal RNA". It matches the Rfam family "Bacterial small subunit ribosomal RNA", at positions 28 to 523 of the family's 1533-position model. The record is from RNAcentral.